GUGAAAUUGUUGAAAGGGAAGCGCUUGCAACCAGACUUGCACGCAGUUGAUCAUCCGGUGUUCUCACCGGGGCACUCUGCUGCGUUCAGGCCAGCAUCGGUUUUGGUGGUUGGAUAAAGGCCUUGGGAAUGUGGCUUCCUUCGGGGAGUGUUAUAGCCCUCGGUGCAAUGCAGCCUACCGGGACCGAGGACCGCGCUUCGGCUAGGAUGCUGGCGUAAUGGUUGUAAGCGACCCGUCUUGAAACACGGACCAAGGAGUCUAACAUCUAUGCGAGUGUUUGGGUGUUAAACCCAUACGCGUAAUGAAAGUGAACGGAGGUGAGAACCCUUAAGGGUGCAUCAUCGACCGGUCCUGAUGUCUUCGGAUGGAUCUGAGUAAGAGCAUAGCUGUUGGGACCCGAAAGAUGGUGAACUAUGCGUGAAUAGGGUGAAGCCAGAGGAAACUCUGGUGGAGGCUCGCAGCGGUUCUGACGUGCAAAUCGAUCGUCAAAUUUGCGCAUAGGGGCGAAAGACUUAUCGAACCAUUUCAAAUUGUUCGGGGACCUCCUGAUAACUCUCAGACUACCGCAGCCCGCCCGAAAGGGGGGUGCGCACCGGGUUAACGACCCUGGGGAUGGUAACAACGUCUGGGUAGGGAAGAUCCGCAGCCAAGUCCUACCGCCACUCGGGGCCACGGAU
RNAcentral lists this ribosomal RNA (677 nucleotides) under uncultured Ascomycota. RNAcentral describes it as "LSU rRNA". It matches the Rfam family "Eukaryotic large subunit ribosomal RNA", at positions 399 to 1127 of the family's 3401-position model. Lineage: Eukaryota; Fungi; Ascomycota. The record is from RNAcentral.